AGGCUUAAAAUUCCCUCUCUGAUGCCAAUCGUGUUUCUCAGUGGCCAGUCCUGAUGAAGGUUAGUGUCUUAUGCACUUGCCGAGUAGCAACUUUCAAGCAUUGCAACAUGUCAAAAUUUUACUCAAGUGCAGCACACAUGAAGUUGUCAACAUUAUGUUAAACAAAUCACUUAAAUAAUCACAAAAUAUCUUUGCAGAAAAGAUGCAAAAACUACAACUACAUAUUGUACAAAUUUGCCUUAUACAUAUUGUGUUCAGAAAUUAUGAGGAAACUUAUUAAGUCAAGGUAAUCCAAAUAAAAAACUGACAAAGUUUAACACCAGUACAUUUUUAUUAAUUAUAAAUGUUCUUUAAAAACAACAGCAGCUUUCAGGCUGUCACCAUGUUGCAAACAUGAAAUAUCAGACAUACAGUGGUAGUUCUUUACAGGUUUUUUAAUCGAUUGGGUUGUUUUUUUCUGUGUAAACAUUGAUGUGUUUGACUGUUGCGCUCGCGUCUCUUGCAGUGUCUCAUGCAUGAAACGCCAUUCAAAAAACACUUUACUCAAGCAUAGGCUUGGCCGUGGGGACUUGACUCUCUUUCCCUUUUCCGUUACCUGCUGUAGGACGGAUAGGACCCCAUGGUGGGUGAGACUGGCCAAAUUCAAUGGCUUUAUCUAGUGUAUGAUCAGUUUCCCUCAGUAGCCACUCUUUCAUUCUAGGAUCUGAUAUGCUGAAAACUAUCACGUCAUUUUCAGUUAGUCCAAAUUGCUUACAUUUCUGUCACAUUUCUUUAACAAGUUUGUUAAUUCAAACUGAUUCUUAAUUGCCAUGUGUCCAGAAUUGAUAGCGCUCAAAAACAAAAUUUUUCUUGGGGCUAUAAUUCUCUGUGAAUGCUAUAUAAUAAUCUCUGCCAUUGUCAGGUUUUCUGGAUCUCUAAAUGUUAUCUGCAGUGUAUUAUACACAUCCAAGGCUUCCUCACCAACCUUGUGUAGGAGAAUAUCAAAUUUUGACAGUCUCCUCUUUGUCAUCUGAUCCAGUUGCCGUCAUGUACAAAUUGAACCACUGUUUACACCUGUGCCAGUUCUCACUCAUAUUGCCCAUCAGCAAAAGAGAUGAUGGAGCUGGCGCUGUUCCAAAUACAACUUCUUAGCUCAUAUGCUGCUGUAGGUGCUGACAGCCUCCCAGCGACUUCCACAAGUUGACCCCAUGCUAAUUGAUCAGUGGAUAGGGUCUUGGCAUCUACGUGUGUGAGAUGACGAUUCUUAAGGCUGUCUUCUACUUGUUUCAUCCAGGUCUUCUUCUGCGCAUGGCAGUGUGCCUUCCCUGUUGGUGGUUGUUGGAGCCAAAGUGGUUUGUAUGGCAGUCAAGCAAUGUCCAUUAGACACACCUUGCCAAACCACUGUAAGCGUCUUUUCCAUAUCACCUCUUCAUUUGUGGAAUGGUUGCCACAUUGUUGACAUACAGUUUCAUUUCGGAGCUAGUCAAGCCGGGAUACACCAAAGAUUUGCCUGAGGCAUUGAAUUUGAAAGGUCUUCUAUUACUCACUGUGCCACAGAAUUAGUCUUCUUCAACUGCCGAUCUUUCUACCUUUUCUCACAAAACGAAGAAACCCAUAUCUUCUGACACAAUGUUAUUUUAUUCCAAUUAUUAAACAUGCUCUCUUAAACACA
Carassius auratus (goldfish) is the source of this 1651-nucleotide long non-coding RNA. RefSeq lists it as uncharacterized. The record is from RefSeq and is a predicted model, not a curated record. The transcript has 2 exons. Lineage: Eukaryota; Metazoa; Chordata; Actinopteri; Cypriniformes; Cyprinidae.